RNAcentral lists this ribosomal RNA (802 nucleotides) under Trechisibus antarcticus. RNAcentral's name for it is "partial 16S ribosomal RNA". The stretch from base 1 to 579 matches the Rfam family "Bacterial large subunit ribosomal RNA", at positions 1819 to 2925 of the family's 2925-position model. Lineage: Eukaryota; Metazoa; Arthropoda; Insecta; Coleoptera; Carabidae. The record is from RNAcentral.
GUCUUUUUGAUUUAUAUAUAAAGUCUGACCUGCCCACUGAAAAUUUUAAAUGGCUGCAGUAAUUUGACUGUACAAAGGUAGCAUAAUCAUUAGUUUUUUAAUUAAAAGCUUGUAUGAAAGGUUGGACGAAGUAAAAUCUGUCUCUUUUUAAUAUAAUUAGAAUUUAAUUUUUAAGUAAAAAAGCUUAAAUUUUUAUAAAAGACGAGAAGACCCUAUAGAGUUUAAUAAUUUUAAUAAAAUAUUUAAUUAAGAUUUAUUAAUUUUAUUUAAUUAAAAUUAUUUUAUUGGGGUAAUAAAAAGAUUAAAAAAAUUCUUUUUUUUUAAUACAUUAAUUUAUGAAUAUAUGAUCCAUUUGUAAUGAUUAAAAGAUUAAAUUACCUUAGGGAUAACAGCGUAAUUUUUUUAAAGAGUUCUUAUCGAUAAAAAAGUUUGCGACCUCGAUGUUGGAUUAAAGAUUAAUUUAGGUGUAGAAGUUUAAAUUUUUGGUCUGUUCGACCAUUAAAUCUUUACAUGAUCUGAGUUCAAACCGGUGUAAGCCAGGUUGGUUUCUAUCUUUAUUAAUUUUUUAUAUUUUAGUACGAAAGGACCAAAUAUAAAAUAUAUAAAUAUUUUUAUUUUGAAUAUUAUUAAAUUAGUUAUUUUGGCAGAUUAGUGUAAUGAAUUUAGAAUUCAUUUAUGUAAAUAUUUUACAAAUAAUACUUGUUUAUAAAAGAUAUAAUUAUUUCUUUUAUUUUAAUUAUUUUAUUAAUUAUUUGUGUUUUAGUAGGUGUGGCUUUUUUAACUUUAUUAGAACGAAAGGUUU